UGAUGUAGCUUGAUGUCUUCAAGCUUUAAGAGCUUAGCCCCAAUAGUGUGGAAGCCUCAAGUGGAAUCACAAAUCACCAAGACACCUUGGAAGACUUUAGAGAAUAUGAAUACUUGGUUCUCUCUUAGUUAAAUCGGCUAGCCCUCUUAGUGUAUCCACACUAGUGCCAAUUUCACCAACCAAUGACAUCUUUAUAUAGUGUGGAGGAUUAGGGUUAAACCCUAAUACCCAUGACCUUUCAUUUCCUAGGAUCCAUGGGUUAAACACUCCAUGGACUAUCCAUGAAAGCUUAGCCCAACCUAAAUGAACUUGGCCCAUUCCAUAUAUAUAAGAGUCCAUAUUUAAUUAGUUCCUUUUGAUCACUUAAUUAAUUAUAAAUUAAUUCUUGAUCAAUACUAAUUAAAUAAUAUGAUUCCAUAUUAAUAUAUUAGAACUUAUAAUAUAUUAAUAUUAAUCAUAAACAUACUAUUCUCAAAAGAUUAUCCAUAUAAAUUGUGUCGGUGAAGUGCAACCCAAAUGGACCAUGCCGGGUCGGGUCAAGUACAUACCAAAUAUAGUUAUGGACUUAGACAUUAAUCCAACAGUCUCCCACUUGGAUAAGUCUAAAACUAUUAUUGCGUAUGACUUCAAACCUAACUGGCAAUCGUAGCUCUUAAAGCUGCUGUCGAACUCUGAUCUUGUCAACGAACUUGUCCAUUAGAUAAGGGAUCAUAUAUUCCUCCAUUCUAGAUAUCAUAUGGACUGAGACAUGGAUUAUAAUCAUUCUCUCUGUCCAUUUGUUGUUUCCCGAUUUCCGAUUUAUGACGACUGACUAAUUGAACAAAUCAAAUCAGUCCUGGCCCGGCCGAGCACUUCCAUUUGUCAUCAUCAAAUCAUCGAGGGGCCCACAGAUAUCGCUUUUAUCCCGAAGGUAAAAGGAAUGGAUAAACUUCGACUCAUAUGGCUUGUUCUACUACUUGUUGAAUCAUACACAAAGGCACGUUUUAUAGCACCGAGUUACCAAAUGCGUUUUCGUGCAAUCAAUGUACAACCAACUCAUAGUAACAACUCAUAUCUCUAGGUUUGAAGAAUAUAAGAUAUUAUCGUCUCAUGAUCACUCGUGAUAAAAUCCAUGAAGUGAUUCCAAUGAGCGCGGGUUGAAUCCAAUACUCAGAACUUAUGAGCACUCAUGAGUGUUGUAGCCCUUUGUCCAACACCUUAGACCUCUACAAGCCAACCCAUGACAGUCUUAAUUCAUAUCUACUUCCAACAUAUGACCGACUGUGGAUGGUUUGAAUAACUUAGUCAUUCCGGAAGAAUAACCUAGUUUAUUCGGGAAGUCAAAACAUGCAAAGUGAAACACAAUAAUAAUUGAAUCCAAUAUGGUAUCAAAUCUUUGAACAUAAAUAAAACACCUUUUAUUUAUCACCAUAUGAUUACACAUUAUUCAUUGUAUACUGUUUCAGCUAUCAACUUUAUUCUUGAAUUUAAAACAAUAGUUGUCCCAUGCUCCAAGCAUGUACACUAUGUUUUCUUAAACACUAGUCAUGCCACACACCAAGUAUGCAUACUAUGUUUGUCUAUGAUCUUUACUUUGUGAACUAGAUCAAUUGAACAUAACUUCAAUGAUUCUCUUUUCACACUCCCAAAUCCUUACUGCAAAUGCAAGAAUUCCAAAUUCAUGCCAUUUACUGAAAUCUGUUAGAUUCUAAACUUAUAUGCAUUGAUCCUCUUGUAAUGAUUAUGCACAAAGUCAGAAAGACUUGACAACAAUCAUUACAGAGUAUUCCAAAGGAGAUCAGCUCCUUGGAAACAUCCUUCUUGCAUUAAGUUUCCUAAUCUUAAACAGAUUGAAAAUUCUAACUUUGAAACAUUUCCAGAUUCCAUUUUGACUAUCACUUCUGAACAAGAGUUGCCUCCUUACAGAUUAUGUCAAUAUGGUCCUUCCAGAAUUAUCACUAUACUUCCAACUGUCCUUGAGCAACCAAUCUUUGGUAAACCUUAGAUUGUCCUCGACAAUUGUUUAAUCCUUUUAGUCAUAUCCAGUUCUAAACCUUUUCCCUUCUUAAUGCCCCAGGCAUUUGGAAAAUUUUAGAACGGAUGAAUAUAGCACAUGUAAUCGAUCCUAUAUCCGAAGCAUAUGGGACACGAUUCAUGAUGUCUUACAUAAAGACUAAACCAGUCUUUUGCUAUAAUAUUUCCAUUUCAAUUUGCCAAGUUCUCAUAAUUCAGAUUAUGAAAAGGGAUGCCGUAAUCAUAAUCGAAUUUUAGAACGCAAAUAAUGGACCCAUAUACAGAAUUUCCUUAUGUUGAGCCAUUCCAACAUGAAAUUCAUAUAUAUCCUUGACUAAAUGAUUAAAACCUCACGAUCUAAGCUUAUAGAUUUGAGAUGAAGUAUAAUUUCCUCUCCCUUAAUUAUAGCAAAACAACUUUUUCCCAAUUGAAACUUUUGUUUUCUAUAAUUAACAUUGCUAACUUGCAAUACUUAUCAUAAUUAUCAUGCUCCCACUAACAUGAUGAUUAUUAGCAUAACACUUAUGCUCCCACUAGCUUUGACAUGUACUCAGAAAUCAGCUGGACUUCUAGAAAUCAAUACUUCAUUGACUUUCUUACCAAAGUUCAGAUUUCUGAUGCUAGAUUGUUUUGAUAAAGCUUUAUCAAAAUCAUACACCUUCCCUUAGAUAGCACACUUGUGUAUCUAAACAAUUAUGAAGAGGGAUGCCGUAAUCAUAAUGUUUAGACCUUUUUGCCACUUCUCACAAGUCCAAAUUAGUGUGCCGGUUAACCACACGCGCUCCACUAACGACUUUGAGAAUGCAAAUAUCACAAUUGCUAUCUAGCUAAAAUCUACUUAGUGAAAGUGUUUCCUCACCAUCAUUUUCAUGAAUCGGAGAGAAACCUUAUGACACUUAGAUUUAAUGGUGUAUGUGUUCUUAUCCAUGUGAAUUGUCAAAACCAUAGUCACAAGACAAGGAUAAUGACAAAUCCAAACUCAUAUGGACUGAACUCAAUCUUAAUUUCUUGCCACCUGGCAGCUCAAGGGCCUACCAUUGCUUCCAAGUUGUUGUGCAACAAAUUGAGAACUCUAAGAACUCAUAUGCAAAACCAACUUUAACUGGAAUGGGCACAGAAUAUGUCAACACGAUAGGUUAUGAACCUCAAGUUGUGUGCUAGUGAAGAACUUUAGGUUUUAUUCUUGAUUAGUUCUUGAGACUUUCAAGACUUUUAAGACUCCCACUGACCUCUUGACCUAUAAGACUCCCUUGUCAAAUAUCCAAGAGAUAGUGUGGAUUCUAAUCAAGACAAACACUUCACACAAUUGGCCUAAGUUGGUCUUUGUUUUAUCCAAAACAUCACAACUUACCAAUUUCAAAUGUACAAGAGUAGAAAACUUUUACUCUUACAUUUGACAAGUGUUUUAAACCUUCUUUAAGACAUGUCACUCAAAUUACAAUCUUGGAGUAUGACUCUAAGACUUGUAUUGGAACGAAGUAUGACUCAUCUUCUUGAUUUAACCAUUUCAACAAUUCAAGUUCCUCUUCUUAGUCAUAAGAAUGCACUAAGAUUUCCUUAGAGAACUAAUUUUGAUAUGGUUUCUUAAUCAUUAAGAUGAUCACAAAACUGAUACUAAAGUACUCUCCCAUCUUUUCAGAUUUGAGAAACUUUUAUCCUUCUGCCUAAUUUGAUUCUUCUUAUUCGCUCUGCCAUACAUUGGAACCUUUUCCAAUGUCUCAGAGUUACACUUAAGCUUGUAAGUAUAAUCAUAUUUACUGAGCUUUAGUAAACUAUGACGAAUAGUCUUAUCAAUCUUUUGUGGUGGACUUAAUCAGUGCACAAGAAUGUGUACUCGAUCCCUUAGUCCUUUACUUGACUCACACAUCCAUGUGGCCGAGUAAUUAGUCUUAAUUUUCCAAAACUUGAAAGUUCUCAUUCAUCAUGCUAUACAACUUGCAUGAUUCCAAGUUCCGGUCCAAUUGAAACUUGGGUGAUGAGAAUCUUUCCUUAUUUGGUAAAUCUAGACAUUACCACAAAUGAAAGAAUCAAUUUCAUAUUUCCACUCUUGCUAUUAAUGGAAUCAUAUAAGCAACAAUUUUUCCUCAAAUGCCAUUGUAAGGAUAUUUUAAAAUAAAUAAAAUCAAAAAUUUUCUUUUAUUUUAAAACUUUGCGGAAAAACUUAUCCUUACAAUCCAUAUGAAAACUUGUUGUUAUCUAUUCCUAAGCAAUAUCUCAUAACUCCUAAGAAGUUGCUCAAGAAUCCGAUCUUCAAACUAUGCGAUAGAAAUCCAUCUACGCCAUCAGAUUCAGCAUAUUCUUUCUUUAAGUUUCUUCACUUUUCUUUGAUUCUUAAAACAUCACCAUGUGACCCAGUCACAUCAUGUAUCAGGAAUCUCAGAAUAGAAACUUAACAGAGUUAGAUAGUGGACUUUACCUGAAGUAGAGUCAAACUUAUUGACUUUAACAUCCUUAGGUAAAUUUGGCAGCUUCGCAACCAAUGCCCCUUCCUUUGGCAAUAUAAACAUAUGGACCCUUUGAUAAUGGUACACGAGACUAUCACAGACUUAGCUUUUCUCUUUACCAUUUGGUCAACCGAGUUGACUAUGGCCGAUCCCUUUCCAUUGGGAAGAGAAUGCUUUACUGGAUAUCCAAUGUCAUCAUUGUCAAUGUCCAUAAAGUUUUAGGAAGUUGAUCUUAGCAAAUAGAUAAGAUCAUUAAGGGUCUUGUCAUAGUCUGUUUCAUAGGUGUCCCAAAGGAACUCACUAUGUGACUUAGAAAGUGAUUGAACCACCAACUUUCUCAAGACUUUGACACCCAACUCUCCCGGCUUGUCAAUAUGUGACUACAUCUCCAAGAUGUGAUCACACCUAGACCUUGCCUUGCCAAUAGGGCUUGAGUGACCUUAAACUUUUCAAGAACUUGUGGGUUAGGGAGAAUAAUUGGAGGAGGAGAAAGAAGUAUGAUAUCCAUGGGACAUCAUCUUCAUUAGGAAACCUUGUUUCAAGAGAUUUGGGAAGAUCAUAGGUGUCUAAACCAGACAUCUUUUGGGAGAUAUUCAAGAUAGUUGAUUUAAAGUCCUUAAUAUGACACCCAAUAUGAAAUAUUAAGGCUAGGACCCAACAAACUAUUUUAUAACUUAGAAGAGGUAUGCCGUAAUCCAAGCUAUAAAAUAUUUGAAGGUAGGUGAAUGACGAUUCACCAAUUUCCACCAAGAUAAACGAAAUGUAUUAUUAGGUUUUAAUUGGUUUUGAAACUCCUAGAUCUUUGAGAUUCAUUGAACUGUUCAAAGGCAUGUUUCAAUCUCGAGUGUGCCCUUCAGGUUUUGUGACUGGGAUGCCGAGGAUCACAAAACAAGGUGUGAAGUAACCAUGCAAAUCACUUGGUACCCUUAAUAAAUUACCCCUCAAUCGAUGUGCCGGUUAACCACACACGCUCCAUCGAUACUAUGAUAAAUAUUAAGUCACCCUUUACCUACCUUGUUAAGUCCAAGUUAGUGUGCCGGUUAACCACACACGCUCCACUAACGACUUAGACAAAGUGUAAAGUGUAAUUUCAUGGAUUAGCACCUUAUUCACAUUUUUCCUAAGUAACUAAGAUUGGGUAUUAUUAAGAGUUUAGUUACUUAGUAUUAUCAUUAAUACUUUUAAUGAAGGGAGAAUUCUAGUCCUGUCAAACCCGUUCGGCUAACGACCCUCCACCAGUCAAGCAAGCGGUGGGUGAGAGUGGACACCCAUUAAGUUGCCAUUUUAUAGGCAACAACCUUAUACCCACCUUAUAGACCGGCUUCGUGAAUGAGGCGUACUAGCGGUAAGACUGACUUUACUCUUAUACAUAUAUAUAUUAUUAACUUAUAAUAUUAUAAAGUAUAAGGGUUGAAUUUUAACUUUUAAAAUUCUAAGGGCUAACUUGGAAUUAAAGUAUUCAUAAGUGAAAACUUUACAAAUUCCAAAACUUGAGGGCAAGUUUUGAAACUAUUCAAAACUAAUUAAUUCCAUAACUUAUGUGUUUAAAGUAGUUUUAAUCCAAAAACUCUUCAAGUUCCAUAACUUGAGGACAAGUUAUGGAAGACUUUAAACUAAUAAAAGAAUUAACUUUUCUUUAUUUUAUAACUUAUGGAAUUAAUUAAGGUUACACUUUUUUUUUUUUUAUUUUAUUUUAUUAAAUGAAGAGACUCUUGGUCCUCCAUAACUUGAGGACAAGUUAUGGAGUCAUAAAACCAUUUAAUUAGAACUAGACUCUUCAUUUUUGUAACCUUUGCCAAUUUUUAUGAGUUUUAUGAUUCUUAAAUGUGACUUUUCAUAUAACUUGAGGACAAGUUACAAAAACACAUUUUAGAAUCAAUUCUUAGAUUAAUUUGGAUUAAAACCAACUAUCACAUAAUUUUAUUCAUUAAUCUAAAUUCACUCAUAAAACAAGGUAACACAAAAAACUUUUGGUGAUCCAUAACUUAUUCUUAAGUUAUGGAAUCCUUUAAAACAUUAACACCAAAUUUUGUAACUCCAAAAAAACUUUGAAUCAAUUUUUUUUUUAAAACCUUUUCAUAUCCAUAACUUAUGGAGGUUUCAAAAAAUAAAACUCUUUAGAUCAAACUUUUAAAACUAAUAAAAUAAUCAUAUUAUUUUAUCUUUUAUUAAAUUUGACCUAAUUCAACUCAUAAAGCAAAUUAUUCAAAUUUUACAAAUAAUUAGUUUUUCACAAGAACAAGUAAUUAUCUUAAAAUUUGACAAACUUCAUGUUUUUUUUUUUUUUUUUUUUCAACUUUGAAAAUAAAAUAUUUGCAUCAAUAUAACAGAAAACAACCCGUGGCUCUGAUACCACUGUUGGGUUUUGAGCAUUCUAACACUUCCUAAGUGUACAUGCAACCCUAAAUACCUUGGAUCUAUGUUUUCUCUAUUAUACAUGCAAAUAAGAACAUCCAAGGUAUUAUCCUAAUCUAGCAUACAAAAACUAUGAAUGUAACAAGAUAGAAUACAUACCUCUUGAUGUAGCUUGAUGUCUUCAAGCUUUAAGAGCUUAGCCCCAAUAGUGUGGAAGCCUCAAGUGGAAUCACAAAUCACCAAGACACCUUAGAAGACUUUAUAGAAUAUGAAUACUUGGUUCUCUCUAGUGAAAUUGGCUAGCCCUUCUUUAGUGUAUCCACACUAGUGCCAAUUUCACCAACCAAAGACAUCUUUAUAUAGUAUGGAGGAUUAGGGUUAAACCCUAAUACCCAUGACCUUUCAUUUCCUAGGAUCCAUGGGUUAAACACUCC
This 7225-nucleotide long non-coding RNA is filed under the name Lactuca sativa (garden lettuce). Its description in RNAcentral is "long non-coding RNA (LSAT_LNC005282)". The record is from RNAcentral. Lineage: Eukaryota; Viridiplantae; Streptophyta; Magnoliopsida; Asterales; Asteraceae.